RNAcentral lists this small nuclear RNA (103 nucleotides) under Saimiri boliviensis boliviensis (Bolivian squirrel monkey). The record is from RNAcentral. Lineage: Eukaryota; Metazoa; Chordata; Mammalia; Primates; Cebidae.
UUGCUUCAGCAGCACAUAUACUAAAAUUAGAAUGACACAGAGAAGAUUAGCAUGGCCCCUGCACAAGAAUAACACACAAAUUCAUGAAGGUUUUCAUAUUUUU